CCUACGGGAGGCAGCAGUGGGGAAUAUUGCACAAUGGGGGCAACCCUGAUGCAGCGACGCCGCGUGAGUGAUGAAGGACUUCGUUAUGUAAAGCUCUAUCAGCAGGGAAGAAAAUGACGGUACCUGAGUCAGAAGCCACGGACAACUACGUGCCAGCAGCCGCGGUAAUACGUAGGGGGCAAGCGUUAUCCGGAUUUACCGGGUGUAAAGGGAGCGUAGACGGCAGUGCAAGGCUGGAGUGAAAGGCGGGGGCUCAAUCGCGGGACUGCUCUGGAAACUGUACGGCUGGAGUGCAGGGGAGGUAGGUGGAAUUCCUGGUGUAGCGGUGAAAUGCGUAGAUAUUAGGAGGAACACCAGUGGCGAAGGCGGCUUACUGGACUGUAACUGACGUUGAGGCUCGAAAGCGUGGGGAGCAAACAGGAUUAGAUACCCGGGUAGUC
This 440-nucleotide ribosomal RNA is filed under the name uncultured bacterium. Its description in RNAcentral is "partial 16S ribosomal RNA". It matches the Rfam family "Bacterial small subunit ribosomal RNA", at positions 338 to 795 of the family's 1533-position model. The record is from RNAcentral.